This 408-nucleotide ribosomal RNA is filed under the name Chorebus sp. Its description in RNAcentral is "eukaryotic LSU rRNA". Lineage: Eukaryota; Metazoa; Arthropoda; Insecta; Hymenoptera; Braconidae. The record is from RNAcentral.
CCUGAGAAACCCAAAAGAUCGAAUGGGGAGAUUCAUCGUCAGCUCAUUUUGUAUAUAUAUAAGUUAUGAUAUGGGUUACUACUUGUAGUAUUGCCUAUACAUUCUUGUAUAUUUGAUUGCAAUAUGUUGUCGGCGUGCACUUCUCCCCUAGUAGGACAUCGCGACCCGUUGAGUGUCGGUCUACGGCCCAAGUGGUAGCCUUUAAUUUUUACGAAUUGAAGACCCUUGGUGUUUCCUGGCUGGCUACUCGGCGGUAUUCGUACGGUAUUAAGCCGCAUUUAUGUGCGUUCAUAUCCGUCGCAAGCGCGGUCAAUUUUUGGUAGUACGGACCUAGUGCCGUCGCCAUAAUUGAUCAGCUGUUGGUUGUACGGUAUUCUAGAACUGGCUUUAAUUUAUACCGGUCAGCGA